Molecule: small nucleolar RNA, 134 nt
Filed under: Oryza sativa (Asian cultivated rice)
Lineage: Eukaryota; Viridiplantae; Streptophyta; Magnoliopsida; Poales; Poaceae
Description: Z107 small nucleolar RNA
Rfam family: Small nucleolar RNA Z107/R87 (bases 3-121)
About the family: Z107 and R87 are members of the C/D class of snoRNA which contain the C (UGAUGA) and D (CUGA) box motifs. Most of the members of the box C/D family function in directing site-specific 2'-O-methylation of substrate RNA
Source: RNAcentral
GCGAUGGCAGUGACGACCUGGUAAUAUUCAAGCUCAACAGACCAAAUCACAGGUCUUUCUCUCUGGAUCUACUCCUCAGGGAUUGAUUUGUAUGCCGAUUUUUCCGCUGAACCGAGCCAUCUGAUUUUGCUCUU